RNAcentral lists this ribosomal RNA (254 nucleotides) under uncultured bacterium. RNAcentral's name for it is "partial 16S ribosomal RNA". It matches the Rfam family "Bacterial small subunit ribosomal RNA", at positions 524 to 776 of the family's 1533-position model. The record is from RNAcentral.
UACAGAGGUCCCAAGCGUUGUUCGGAUUCAUUGGGCGUAAAGGGUGCGUAGGCGGUUUGGUAAGUCGGGUGUGAAAUCUCCACGCUCAACGUGGAGGGGCCACUCGAUACUGCCAUGACUCGAGUCCGGUAGAGGAGUGUGGAAUUCCCGGUGUAGCGGUGAAAUGCGCAGAUAUCGGGAGGAACACCCGUAGCGAAGGCGGCACUCUGGGUCGGAACUGACGCUGAGGAGCGAAAGCGUGGGGAGCAAACAGG